GGUUAAGCGACUAAGCGUACACGGUGGAUGCCCUGGCAGUCAGAGGCGAUGAAGGACGUGCUAAUCUGCGAUAAGCGUCGGUAAGGUGAUAUGAACCGUUAUAACCGGCGAUUUCCGAAUGGGGAAACCCAGUGUGUUUCGACACACUAUCAUUAACUGAAUCCAUAGGUUAAUGAGGCGAACCGGGGGAACUGAAACAUCUAAGUACCCCGAGGAAAAGAAAUCAACCGAGAUUCCCCCAGUAGCGGCGAGCGAACGGGGAGGAGCCCAGAGCCUGAAUCAGUGUGUGUGUUAGUGGAAGCGUCUGGAAAGGCGCGCGAUACAGGGUGACAGCCCCGUACACAAAAAUGCACAUGCUGUGAGCUCGAUGAGUAGGGCGGGACACGUGGUAUCCUGUCUGAAUAUGGGGGGACCAUCCUCCAAGGCUAAAUACUCCUGACUGACCGAUAGUGAACCAGUACCGUGAGGGAAAGGCGAAAAGAACCCCGGCGAGGGGAGUGAAAAAGAACCUGAAACCGUGUACGUACAAGCAGUGGGAGCACGCUUAGGCGUGUGACUGCGUACCUUUUGUAUAAUGGGUCAGCGACUUAUAUUCUGUAGCAAGGUUAACCGAAUAGGGGAGCCGAAGGGAAACCGAGUCUUAACUGGGCGUUAAGUUGCAGGGUAUAGACCCGAAACCCGGUGAUCUAGCCAUGGGCAGGUUGAAGGUUGGGUAACACUAACUGGAGGACCGAACCGACUAAUGUUGAAAAAUUAGCGGAUGACUUGUGGCUGGGGGUGAAAGGCCAAUCAAACCGGGAGAUAGCUGGUUCUCCCCGAAAGCUAUUUAGGUAGCGCCUCGUGAAUUCAUCUCCGGGGGUAGAGCACUGUUUCGGCAAGGGGGUCAUCCCGACUUACCAACCCGAUGCAAACUGCGAAUACCGGAGAAUGUUAUCACGGGAGACACACGGCGGGUGCUAACGUCCGUCGUGAAGAGGGAAACAACCCAGACCGCCAGCUAAGGUCCCAAAGUCAUGGUUAAGUGGGAAACGAUGUGGGAAGGCCCAGACAGCCAGGAUGUUGGCUUAGAAGCAGCCAUCAUUUAAAGAAAGCGUAAUAGCUCACUGGUCGAGUCGGCCUGCGCGGAAGAUGUAACGGGGCUAAACCAUGCACCGAAGCUGCGGCAGCGACGCUUAUGCGUUGUUGGGUAGGGGAGCGUUCUGUAAGCCUGCGAAGGUGUGCUGUGAGGCAUGCUGGAGGUAUCAGAAGUGCGAAUGCUGACAUAAGUAACGAUAAAGCGGGUGAAAAGCCCGCUCGCCGGAAGACCAAGGGUUCCUGUCCAACGUUAAUCGGGGCAGGGUGAGUCGACCCCUAAGGCGAGGCCGAAAGGCGUAGUCGAUGGGAAACAGGUUAAUAUUCCUGUACUUGGUGUUACUGCGAAGGGGGGACGGAGAAGGCUAUGUUGGCCGGGCGACGGUUGUCCCGGUUUAAGCGUGUAGGCUGGUUUUCCAGGCAAAUCCGGAAAAUCAAGGCUGAGGCGUGAUGACGAGGCACUACGGUGCUGAAGCAACAAAUGCCCUGCUUCCAGGAAAAGCCUCUAAGCAUCAGGUAACAUCAAAUCGUACCCCAAACCGACACAGGUGGUCAGGUAGAGAAUACCAAGGCGCUUGAGAGAACUCGGGUGAAGGAACUAGGCAAAAUGGUGCCGUAACUUCGGGAGAAGGCACGCUGAUAUGUAGGUGAAGUCCCUCGCGGAUGGAGCUGAAAUCAGUCGAAGAUACCAGCUGGCUGCAACUGUUUAUUAAAAACACAGCACUGUGCAAACACGAAAGUGGACGUAUACGGUGUGACGCCUGCCCGGUGCCGGAAGGUUAAUUGAUGGGGUCAGCGCAAGCGAAGCUCUUGAUCGAAGCCCCGGUAAACGGCGGCCGUAACUAUAACGGUCCUAAGGUAGCGAAAUUCCUUGUCGGGUAAGUUCCGACCUGCACGAAUGGCGUAAUGAUGGCCAGGCUGUCUCCACCCGAGACUCAGUGAAAUUGAACUCGCUGUGAAGAUGCAGUGUACCCGCGGCAAGACGGAAAGACCCCGUGAACCUUUACUAUAGCUUGACACUGAACAUUGAGCCUUGAUGUGUAGGAUAGGUGGGAGGCUUUGAAGUGUGGACGCCAGUCUGCAUGGAGCCGACCUUGAAAUACCACCCUUUAAUGUUUGAUGUUCUAACGUUGACCCGUAAUCCGGGUUGCGGACAGUGUCUGGUGGGUAGUUUGACUGGGGCGGUCUCCUCCUAAAGAGUAACGGAGGAGCACGAAGGUUGGCUAAUCCUGGUCGGACAUCAGGAGGUUAGUGCAAUGGCAUAAGCCAGCUUGACUGCGAGCGUGACGGCGCGAGCAGGUGCGAAAGCAGGUCAUAGUGAUCCGGUGGUUCUGAAUGGAAGGGCCAUCGCUCAACGGAUAAAAGGUACUCCGGGGAUAACAGGCUGAUACCGCCCAAGAGUUCAUAUCGACGGCGGUGUUUGGCACCUCGAUGUCGGCUCAUCACAUCCUGGGGCUGAAGUAGGUCCCAAGGGUAUGGCUGUUCGCCAUUUAAAGUGGUACGCGAGCUGGGUUUAGAACGUCGUGAGACAGUUCGGUCCCUAUCUGCCGUGGGCGCUGGAGAACUGAGGGGGGCUGCUCCUAGUACGAGAGGACCGGAGUGGACGCAUCACUGGUGUUCGGGUUGUCAUGCCAAUGGCACUGCCCGGUAGCUAAAUGCGGAAGAGAUAAGUGCUGAAAGCAUCUAAGCACGAAACUUGCCCCGAGAUGAGUUCUCCCUGACCCUUUAAGGGUCCUGAAGGAACGUUGAAGACGACGACGUUGAUAGGCCGGGUGUGUAAGCGCAGCGAUGCGUUGAGCUAACCGGUACUAAUGAACCGUGAGGCUUAACCUU
This 2904-nucleotide ribosomal RNA is filed under the name Escherichia coli. RNAcentral describes it as "23S ribosomal RNA". It matches the Rfam family "Bacterial large subunit ribosomal RNA". The record is from RNAcentral. Lineage: Bacteria; Pseudomonadati; Pseudomonadota; Gammaproteobacteria; Enterobacterales; Enterobacteriaceae.